This 212-nucleotide long non-coding RNA is filed under the name Lathyrus oleraceus (garden pea). RNAcentral's name for it is "Pisum sativum (pea) long non-coding RNA (PSAT_LNC005889)". Lineage: Eukaryota; Viridiplantae; Streptophyta; Magnoliopsida; Fabales; Fabaceae. The record is from RNAcentral.
AUGAUUAAGGUAUUUUGAAUGGAUGACGAAUACUCAGAUAGGCGAGUAAGACAACUCGUAUCCUAAUAGUCGGGAAAGGGAAUAGAAGACUCUAGCCCACUUUCUCUUUCAUCUGAGUGAUUAUGAAAACAGGUUCGUGUAUGCUUGAUGAUUUUAUAAACGAAAAAUACUCGAAUGGCUGAAUAAGACAACUCAUAUCCAAGCAUUUUGAG